Dermacentor andersoni is the source of this 1399-nucleotide long non-coding RNA. RefSeq lists it as uncharacterized. Lineage: Eukaryota; Metazoa; Arthropoda; Arachnida; Ixodida; Ixodidae. The record is from RefSeq and is a predicted model, not a curated record.
UCGUGUCGUGAUGGCGCAGCGCAUAUCGGGCCCGUAGACGAUCGCAUUCGCUAAUGCAGCCCGUCGCGAGUUACGGCGGUGUCUGUACUGAUAUGUUUUCCCCGGACUUGUGGAGCGUUUCUGACCGUGACACUCUUCCACUGGCGAGUACCUCGACUUUUACGAUUGGCCGUUGCAGAAGCCAUACUUGUUUCUGGGAGUAUCAGCAACUUUGUUUCCUUUCCUUUACUGCGAUAUCAAUUAUAAGGGCACUCCAGCCAAAUUUUGCUGCCAUCGUCGGCGUCGCCGUGAAGUUCCGUAAAUAUCUAGGUAUAUGUUUGCUAUGUGCCAUGCGGUAUAUGCGGGUUAUAUAUUGCCACGCCAUUCUAUCAGUGCGUGGGCAGUGGGGAUAGUUUCACUAUUGCCAAUAAAGCGUCUCCUUGACACUGGUAGUAGCCAAAGGAAAAUUCAAUAACUUUUGCAUAUGUGGCUCUAUCUCUUCAACCUACAUAGCAGCUAAGUAAAGUGUUGCAAUUAUGUGCAAAAAUAACAUGUGUCAUUGGCUGUUUUCUUUUUCGGCGUCCUAUAUCUUUAUUUAGUCGCUUCAUUUGUUGCACCAGCGGUCGGCGCUGUGGCUCUUAUCGCUUCGGCUGCCAUUCUGUUCGUCUGCUCCUGCCACUUUCUGUGCACGUGCACGCUUUUUCGUGUGCUCUGCAGUUAGGAAUUUCCGUGCCAGCGAACGUUCCGGCAAUGUCGGAAAAACUGAGGAAAGAGCACAAGGCGUGUUGCGGCGGCUGGCUGGUGUGGCGGCUCGGGGAGGAACAGCAGGGCGAAAUUUUUCCGUUUCCCAGCGGACGAGAGAUGUGACAUAUGGCGAAAUUACGCUAUAUGGGGAGUCCUGGCGGGGCUGACAUGGGAGCAGAUGUGCAACGGCUACCGCCUCUGCUCGGAACACUUCGCAGAAAAGGCCUUUGCCGGGCCUGGCCAAAACAAGACUGUUGUGAUCAGCUGUGCAACUGUUGCAGCGGAAGAACAGUCCCUGAUCGAUGAAUUAUCUACAGCACCGCAGCAAGGCCCAAAGCGGAAAAUAUACUCGCCAGAGACCCCAGGCGUCAUCAACCGACUGAGGAAUGAUACACAAAGGUAUCGCGUCAGUGGAAGAGCUGCCGGAACAUUACCACGGGGCAAGCACUAGAGGAGUUGAUGUAUCAUGUGAGCCCAGAGUUCUACCAACUCUAGCAGAGCCAGGUGACACUCCAUUAUCGCAAGAGGAAGAGAAGGUCAUGGAGAUAUGUUUUCUGGAGCACGUUGAUGUGGUCGCGCUGUUGUGCGGUGUGUCCACUGCACUGAAAGAUAAGCUAAACAGCAGUCUACUAUAAGAAAUAUUUUGCUCUAAUAAAUGUCUCAUUGACCUGCUGCA